CCACCUAAUUUUCCUUCAAUCCUACUGUUACUCAAAAACAAAAAAUGGCUAUAGAAAGGCCAAAGUUACAAGAUGAUCAAAGAAACAAAGUUGCCCAGUGGCUGUUAGAGCAUAGCAGUGAAGGCAACCUUCGCCAUGGAGCAAAAAAAGAGGCGGCACUUCACUUCAAAGUAAACUUGAAGACCAUUUGGAGGAUUUGGAGCCAAGUCUCCAAUCAAAGAGCAUCCGGUGUACCUGUCCAGGUUAAAUCAAUUAGAAAAGGAUGUAUACACAAGGAUAAGAUGCUCAUUGAUGGUGAAAAAGUCAAAAAACUUUCAGUUUUAGAAAGAAGUACACUGAGAUGCAUGUCGACUCACCUAGGAGUGUCUAAAUCUUUGCUUCAUCAAUGGGUGAAGGAGAAAAAACUGAAACCACAUACAAAUGCCAUAAAACCCUUCCUUACCACACAAAACAAGCUAUGUAGGCUGAGGUGGAGCCUUAAACAGCUCAGUGGGGUAAGUGAGGAUGGUUUUAUACCAUUCCAAAGUAUGUACAACACCAUCCACAUCGAUGAAAAAUGGUUCUAUCUUACCAAAACCAAUGAUAGAUACUACCUCCUGCCCGAUGAGGAAGAACCACAUAGGACAUGCAAAUCAAAAAGGCAUAUUGAAAAAAUCAUGUUUAUGUGUGCUGCUGCGAGGCCUAUCAUUGAUGAAGAUGGCACAGUCAUAUUCGAUGGAAAGUUAGGCAUUUAUCCUUUCA
Molecule: long non-coding RNA, 741 nt
Filed under: Salvia miltiorrhiza (redroot sage)
Lineage: Eukaryota; Viridiplantae; Streptophyta; Magnoliopsida; Lamiales; Lamiaceae
Description: long non-coding RNA (SMIL_LNC009306)
Source: RNAcentral